GCCGCGUGUGUGAAGAAGGCUUUCGGGUUGUAAAGCACUUUCAGCGAGGAAGAAAGCCUCUGGGUUAAUACCCCAGAGGAAGGACAUCACUCGCAGAAGAAGCACCGGCUAACUCCGUGCCAGCAGCCGCGGUAAUACGGAGGGUGCGAGCGUUAAUCGGAAUUACUGGGCGUAAAGCGCGCGUAGGUGGCUUGGCACGCCGGUUGUGAAAGCCCCGGGCUCAACCUGGGAACGGCAUCCGGAACGGCCAGGCUAGAGUGCAGGAGAGGAAGGUAGAAUUCCCGGUGUAGCGGUGAAAUGCGUAGAGAUCGGGAGGAAUACCAGUGGCGAAGGCGGCCUUCUGGCCUGACACUGACACUGAGGUGCGAAAGCGUGGGUAGCAAACAGGAUUAGAUACCCUGGUAGUCCACGCCGUAAACGAUGUCGACUAGCCGUUGGGACCUUUAAGGACUUAGUGGCGCAGUUAACGCGAUAAGUCGACCGCCUGGGGAGUACGGCCGCAAGGUUAAA
RNAcentral lists this ribosomal RNA (510 nucleotides) under Vreelandella aquamarina. RNAcentral's name for it is "bacterial SSU rRNA". It matches the Rfam family "Bacterial small subunit ribosomal RNA", at positions 396 to 898 of the family's 1533-position model. The record is from RNAcentral. RNAcentral also lists the same sequence under 1 other name. Lineage: Bacteria; Pseudomonadati; Pseudomonadota; Gammaproteobacteria; Oceanospirillales; Halomonadaceae.